AUUGAACGCUGGCGGCAUGCCUUACACAUGCAAGUCGAACGGUAACGGGCCUUCGGGUGCCGACGAGUGGCGAACGGGUGAGUAAUACAUCGGAACGUGCCCGAUCGUGGGGGAUAACGAGGCGAAAGCUUUGCUAAUACCGCUUACGAUCUACGGAUGAAAGCAGGGGACCGCAAGGCCUUGCGCGGACGGAGCGGCCGAUGGCAGAUUAGGUAGUUGGUGGGAUAAAAGCUUACCAAGCCGACGAUCUGUAGCUGGUCUGAGAGGAUGAUCAGCCACACUGGGACUGAGACACGGCCCAGACUCCUACGGGAGGCAGCAGUGGGGAAUUUUGGACAAUGGGCGCAAGCCUGAUCCAGCCAUGCCGCGUGCAGGAUGAAGGCCUUCGGGUUGUAAACUGCUUUUGUACGGAACGAAAAGCCUUCUUUUAAUACAGGAGGGUCAUGACGGUACCGUAAGAAUAAGCACCGGCUAACUACGUG
Molecule: ribosomal RNA, 482 nt
Filed under: uncultured bacterium
Lineage: Bacteria
Description: partial 16S ribosomal RNA
Rfam family: Bacterial small subunit ribosomal RNA
Source: RNAcentral